This 21-nucleotide non-coding RNA is filed under the name Caenorhabditis elegans. Lineage: Eukaryota; Metazoa; Nematoda; Chromadorea; Rhabditida; Rhabditidae. The record is from RNAcentral.
GAUUCUCUCAUCUAUCUUCUU